Caretta caretta (loggerhead turtle) is the source of this 2741-nucleotide long non-coding RNA. RefSeq lists it as uncharacterized. Lineage: Eukaryota; Metazoa; Chordata; Testudines; Cheloniidae. The record is from RefSeq and is a predicted model, not a curated record.
UUAAAAAAAAGACAGAACAAGCCCCCACCUCCCCCUCACCCCAUAACUCCAAAAUGCCUGAAGGGAUUUUGCUCCAACAUUCACCAAUGGACAAAGACCAACUGUGAGGAAGUUGCUCCCAAAAGCUGAACGCGUGGGAAAUUUAGGAGCAUGUUGAAAAACAGAAAAGUGUUUUGUAGCUUCGCUUUGCACUGGCUGAUGGUGCGACUACUUUGAUACAUAACUGGAUUCCCACAAGUUGGGGUGGGUAGAGCUCUGGGCUGCCAUUUGAUCACCUUUCUAAUGGAAGACAAGAAUCCGGGGACUUUCACUCACUGCUGGCUCUUUCCAUUCCAUGUUCUGCUCUGAUUAGAAAAAAAGAAAGAAAAAAAAAAGUUCUGGCAUAAAUACACCAGACCUGACGAUGAGCAGAAAUGACUGGAUCUAAUUAUUGCUUCUGUCAACACUUAGGACUUAUCAGCUGGGUUGGAGCAGUGGCCUUGUCCCCUUCCCCACAGCCGCCCCUCUGUGCGUGUGUGUGUGUUGUUAGCAGUGAGAUGAUGUUUAAAGGCCCAGGCCGAGGGCUCACCAAAGAUCCAAACAUUUCAAAGCAUCAGACACCCGCAGCUUGCUCUGGACUUUCUCCAGACAGGGGCUGUGCAAAGCAGUGAAAUGCAAGACUCAAGUCUGGAAGGAGGCAUCUUCACUCGGAGUAGCUCACAGCUAAUGGCCCACGUGGAGAGCACAUUCAGCAGUGUGGGGGUGGCAGUGUGGCCUAGUGGCUAGAGUCCUGGACUGGGACUCACAAUACCUGCAUUAUAUUUCUAGCUCUACUGCUGGUCAGCUGCUGUGCCUCAGCUUCCCCAUCUGUCAAAUGGGGGUAAUGAUAAUGAACUCGAGGUGUUCAGAUACUAUGGUGCUGAGCACCACAUAAAAUCUUAGGCCAGAAGGGAACAUUGUGGUCAUUGCUGACCUCCUGUAUAUCACGGGCCAUGGAACUUCCUCAGAAGAAUUCCUAAAACAGAUCUUUUAGAAAAACAUCCCAUCUUGAGUUAAAAAUGGUUAGUGAUGGAGAGUCCACCAUGACUCUUGGUAAAUUGUUCCAAUGGCUAAUUACUCUCACUGUUAAUAAUGUGCACCUUAUUUCCAGAAUUAAUUUGUCUAGCUUCAACUUCCAGCCAUUGGAUUGUGGUAUACCUUCCUCUGCUAGACUGAAGAGCCCAUUAUUAAAUAUUUGUUCCCCAUGUAGGUACUUACAGACCAUGAUCAAGUCACCCCUUAACCAUCUCUUUCUUAAACUAAAUAGAUUGAUCUCCUUGGCCUGGUCUACACUACAAGUUUAUGUCAGAUUUAGCAGAGUUAAAUCGAAUUAACCCUGCACCCAACCACACAACAAAGCCAUUCUUUUCGACAUAAAGGGUACUUAAAACCGAUUUCUGUACUCCUCCUCGAUGAGGGGAUUAGCGCUGAAAUCGACGUCGCUAUUUCGAAUUAGGAUUAGUGUGGACGCAAUUUGAAUGUUUUGGCCUCCGGGAGCUAUCCCAUAGUGCACCAUUGUGACCGCUCUGGAUAGCACUCUGAACUUGGAUGCACUGGCCAGGGGUACAGGAAAAGCCCCGGGAACUUUUGAAUCUCAUCUCCUGUUUGGCCAGGCGAGCUCAUCAGCACAGGUGACCAUGCAGUCCCAGAAUCGAAAAACAGCUCCAGCAUGGACCGAACGGGAGGUACUGGAUCUGAUUGCUGUAUGGGGAGAGGAAUCCGUGCUAUCAGAACUAUGUUCCAAAAGACGAAAUGCCAAAACAUUUCAAAAAAUCUCCAAGGCCACGAGGGACAGAAGCUACAGCAGGGAUGCAACACAGUGCCCCGUGAAACUUAAGGAGCUCAGACAAGCAUACCAGAAAACCAAAGAAUCAAACGGACGCUCCGGGACAGAGCCCCAGACAUGCUGCUUCUACGCUGAGCUGCAUGCAAUUCUAAGGGGGACCGCCACCACUACCCCACCCCUGUCCGUGGACGCCGAUGAUGGGGUACUCUCCGCCAUGCCUGAGGAUUUUGCGGACAGGGAAGAUGAGGAGGAGGACAAGCUUGAGGAGGUCACACAGCACACUGUUCUCCCGACAGCCAGGAUCUUUUUAUCACCCUGACCGAAAUACCCUCCCAACCCAACCAAGCCAGAUAAGGGACCUCUGCAGCUGCAAAUGUUUCAAGCCUCCCUCCUCCGUCCCAAAGGCUAUCUCAGAUAAGGCAGCGAAAAAAACGCACACGUGAUGAAAUGUUCUCUGAGCUCAUGCAGUCGUCCGGCACUGACAGAGCUCAGCAGAAUGUGUGGAGGGACAAAAUAGCAGAGUACAGGAAAGCGGCCGAUGAGCAUGAGGAGAGGUGGUGGCAGGAAGAUCAGAGGAGGCAUGAGGCAACGCUGGGGCUACUGCCGGAUCAAACGGACAUGCUCUGGUGUCCGGUGGAGGUUCAUGAAUGGCAGCAGGAUCACAGACUGCCGCUGCAGUCCCUAUUUAAUCGUGCUCCCUCCUCCCCAAGUUCCAUGGCCUCCUCACCCAAACACCCAAUAACGCGCGGGGGGAGGCUCUGGGCACCCAACCACUCCACCCCAGUGGACAGCCCAAGCAACAAAAGGCCGUCAUUCAACAAGUUUUGAAGUGGCCUUUUCCUUCCCUCCUACCCUCCUCCCACACCCCACCCGGGCUACUUUGUGAGUUAUCUCCCUAUUUUUAUAAUCAAUUAAUAAAGAAUACAUGUUUUUUAAA